Molecule: long non-coding RNA, 2385 nt
Organism: Cherax quadricarinatus
Lineage: Eukaryota; Metazoa; Arthropoda; Malacostraca; Decapoda; Parastacidae
Source: RefSeq, a predicted model, not a curated record
CGUUGCCAGAGUAGAGGGACACUGCUGCCUCUGGUUGACCUGCCCUCUCCUGUACCUCACUCAGUGAGCUCAGAUUGACAUUCUCACCAUACUCUUCCACGGUCCUCGAGUGCAUAACUUCAUGGAUGUUUUCCUGAGAAUUCCCACACGAUACUGGAGACGACUCAAGAUUUGCAGGUUAUCUUCGAAAAGACCAGUUCUGGUGGCGCCCUCUCCAAUUCCUGUUUUCUCAGACCACAGCUCGUCUUUGAUAAGAUGCUGUGCUACUGCUACAGUCGUUGCUGCUGCUGCUGUCACUACUGCUGGUCACUCAGAGUGAGGCAGGAGACUACAGCUUCCUAACCCAUCUCGAUGCAGCCUCCGUCGCGCACCACACUGGUGUAGAAGAAUGUUAAUUUAUGUUGAGUCUGGGAGGCAGAAAGCAGUAUAUCUGGGGCACAAACUUGGGAGGUUGGGAUUUACAGGCCCUUGAGAAGCAUUUUGAAGAGUGUCGAGGCAUUUUUGAAGAGAGUCGAAGCAUUAUGAAGUGUCGAGGCAUUUUUGAAGAGCGUCGAAGCGUUGUGAAUAGUGUCGAGGCAUUUUUGAAGAACGUUGAAGUAUUUUUGAAGAGCGUCGAGGCAUUUUGAAGAGCAUAGAGGUAUUUCGAACAGUGUGGAGGCAUUGUGAAGAAUGUCGAGGCAUUUUGAAGAGCGUCGACUAAUGCUGCAGUGCUCAACCCAACCCAUCAACAUCCAUGUAUCUCAAACUGCCUUCAGAACAUAACUGUGACAUACCUAUGAUAGGUUUCAAGGGUUGUCCUGCCUCUGGCAGCUCAUCCUGGGGGCCAAGCUUCCUUGGCGAUUAGCUGUUCAACCAGGUUGUUGGUGUUAGCGGCCCGCUGACCCUUCUGGACCUGACAGUCUGGUUGAUCUCGCACUUGUGUUUUCUUUUUUACUCUCUUCCAGGUUUUAUUUCCAGAAUUAUUUUUUAUAGCGGAGUAUCUGAAAAUUGUCCUCACUGAGCAUAUUAUUUUCUUGACUUAUAGCAGCUAGGAGAGUUGCUGUGUGUAUAUAUUUGCUUGGUGAGUUGCUGUAUGUUUAUAUAAGCUUGGGGAGGGUUGCUGUGUGUUUAUAUCACAUUGGAGACUUAGUGAGUUGGAUUAUAUCAGCUUGACGACUUGAUGCGUGUUGAUAUCAGAUUGAAGAGUUGCUGUCUUGGUUUGUAUCAGCUUACGAAUAAAGAUUCGUAACUGUUGCACACGUCUUAUUUAUCAACUUGUCGUUAUUUUAUUCCAAUAUCAUUUGGUAUAUCAGUGGUAUUCAAUACUGUCUGCUAUGUAUAUUUCUACUGUCUUCAUAUUAUGUCCAUGUAAUGUACUGAUGGGGAUGGCGAAACGUCUGCAAGAUACGCAGAUGUUGCAAAUGUGUAUAAUUCAUUAUCAUUUUUACCUGUAUCUACAUUAAUAUCAACAAUGCUGUAAUCAUCCAAAUAGAAAUUAAAGCAAAUUUGAGUGCAUGUACACAUAUUUACACCUUUGUAUAUUUAAACGCACACGCACUCAGCUGCAAUACGAGAAUCACAUAGCAUCGACAGCCAAAUCUGACCCAAAGCUGUUGUACAGCCACAUCAGGAGGAAAACAAGAUUCAAGGGCCAGGUAAUCAGACUGAGAAAGGAAGGAGGACAGAUCACCAGAAACGACCAAAAAGUACGUGAAGAGCUCAACACGAGAUUUAAGCAAGUAUUUUCGGAGACAGAAAGAACUCGAGCAAACCGGAAUGGUAGAGUACAUCAGCAAGUGAUGGACACACUAUACACAAGCGACCGAGGAGAAGGUGAAGAGGCUGCCAAAUGAGCUAGAUACAUCAAAGGUGGUGGGACCGGCCAACAUCUCUGUGGGUUCUGAUGAAGGGAGCAGAGGCAACUUUGUGUUCCCCUUACAACAAUUUUCAACAUAUCUAUCGAAAAAGGGCAACUACCUAAGGUGUGGAAGACGGCAAAUGCAAUCCCAAUUUUUAAGAAAGGAGACAGGUAACAACUAGAGAGGUAUGAGCUUAUACACGACAACCAGCACGGUUUCAGAGAAGGAAAAUCCUGUGUGACAAACCUAUUGGAGUUUUACGACAAGGUGACAGAAGUAAGACAGGAGAGAGAGGGGUGGAUAGACUGCAGUUUCUUGGACUUUAAGAAGGCUUUCGGCAAAGUAUACGAAUACGGCAUAUGAGCGGAGAAGCAGCUUAUAAACCGUAUGGCAGGAGAGGUGCAGCAGUCGUAGGUGGUGUCACAUUUGCCCAAUGUGGAAGUAGGUCGUGCCCAAGGGUUAGGCAAGCGAAGUUUAGCGCUUCCCCCUUGAUUAUAAUAAUAAUAAUAAUAGGCAAGCGAAGAAUUCCCAAGUAUUAAGAUCCCAA